RNAcentral lists this ribosomal RNA (490 nucleotides) under uncultured bacterium. Its description in RNAcentral is "partial 16S ribosomal RNA". It matches the Rfam family "Bacterial small subunit ribosomal RNA", at positions 30 to 507 of the family's 1533-position model. The record is from RNAcentral.
AUUGAACGCUGGCGGCAGGCCUAACACAUGCAAGUCGAACGGUAACAGGAAGAAUCUUGCUUCUUUGCUGACGAGUGGCGGACGGGUGAGUAAUGUCUGGGAAACUGCCUGAUGGAGGGGGAUAACUACUGGAAACGGUAGCUAAUACCGCAUAACGUCGCAAGACCAAAGAGGGGGACCUUCGGGCCUCUUGCCAUCGGAUGUGCCCAGAUGGGAUUAGCUAGUAGGUGGGGUAACGGCUCACCUAGGCGACGAUCCCUAGCUGGUCUGAGAGGAUGACCAGCCACACUGGAACUGAGACACGGUCCAGACUCCUACGGGAGGCAGCAGUGGGGAAUAUUGCACAAUGGGCGCAAGCCUGAUGCAGCCAUGCCGCGUGUAUGAAGAAGGCCUUCGGGUUGUAAAGUACUUUCAGCGGGGAGGAAGGGAGUAAAGUUAAUACCUUUACUCAUUGACGUUACCCGCAGAAGAAGCACCGGCUAACUCCGUG